CUACGGGAGGCUGCAGUCAAGAAUCUUUUGCAAUGCUCGAAAGAGUGACAAAGCGAACCAGAGUGUUUCUCUAUUUGAGAAACUUUUGUUAGCUGUAAAAAAGCUGAUGAAUAAGGACCGGGCAAGACUGGUGCCAGCCGCCGCGGUAAUCCCAGCGGUCCAAGUCGCAGCCACAAUUAUUGGGUCUAAAACAUCCGUAGCUUGUUUUGUAAGUCUUUUGUGAAAUUUCACAUCUUAAGUGUGAAGCGUGCAAGAGAUACUGCAAAACUAGAGACCGGAAGACGCAAGAAGUACAAUCAAGGUAGUAGUAAAAUACGUUGAUCUUGAUUGGACUAACAAGAGCGAAGGCAUCUUGCGAGGACGGAUCUGACAGUGAGGGAUGAAGGCCAAGGUCGCAAAACGGAUUAGAUACCCCUGUAGUC
RNAcentral lists this ribosomal RNA (422 nucleotides) under uncultured archaeon. Its description in RNAcentral is "partial 16S ribosomal RNA". It matches the Rfam family "Archaeal small subunit ribosomal RNA", at positions 323 to 746 of the family's 1478-position model. The record is from RNAcentral.